This 20-nucleotide transfer RNA is filed under the name Brookesia betschi. Its description in RNAcentral is "partial tRNA-Leu". The record is from RNAcentral. RNAcentral also lists the same sequence under 1 other name. Lineage: Eukaryota; Metazoa; Chordata; Lepidosauria; Squamata; Chamaeleonidae.
ACUUUUAAAGGAAAACAGUU